GUGAGUGUUUAUUUAUCUAUUCAUGUACAGGAUGUUUUUCCUGUUAUUCCUGGAGAUACAGACUACAGAAUUUUUGCUAAUGAUUACGGCAAGAUUCCUGGACUGGAUGUGAUAUUUCUCCUUGGUGGUUAUUUUUAUCAUACCUCCUUCGACACAGUGGAAAGACUAUUGUAUGCAUUACAAUUGCUAUUUUGACCUGGCAGCAUCCAAGUCCGCGGGGAUAAUUUGUUCAGUGUAAUUAAAGCCUUCACCAACUCUUCUAAGCUACAAAAUGCCCUUGAACGAGAAUCUCUUGGAGUUGCAGCCAAUGAAUCCGAUAAUGAACGAGCUGUUUUCUUCGAUUACUUAGCAUGGUUCUUGAUAUUCUACACCAGAAAGCAAGCUGUGGUACUUCACAGCAUUCCUGUUGCCAUCUACCUAUUUAUGCCCUUCUUAUUGCGCUUAGCAAAUGAUGGGUUAUCUUGUUCGAUCGCAACAUUUUAUGACUUCAUUAAAGGAAUGUUGGUCCAUGCUGCUGGGAUCAUUCUUGCAGCUCUUUUUCCAGUGAUCUGUGCUAUCUUGAGAUUGCUUGUCACUGGUCAUUCAAUGAACUGGUUUGCUCAUCCGUUCUUAGCUUUCAUGAUGUUCGUACCAUGCUCACUUGUUGGUCUACUGAUUCCAAGAAUUGUUUGGAGAUGUUUUCCUCUCUCUCAAGAUGUGUCUGUUCUUAAAGCAUCAAGAGAGGUAUAAGUUUUGCUCUAAAC
This is a non-coding RNA of Camellia sinensis, 743 nucleotides long. Lineage: Eukaryota; Viridiplantae; Streptophyta; Magnoliopsida; Ericales; Theaceae. The record is from RefSeq and is a predicted model, not a curated record.